Molecule: ribosomal RNA, 165 nt
Filed under: uncultured bacterium
Lineage: Bacteria
Description: partial 16S ribosomal RNA
Rfam family: Bacterial small subunit ribosomal RNA
Source: RNAcentral
GACGCCGCGUGUGGGAGGAAGCCUUUCGGGGUGUAAACCACUGUCAGGAGGGAAGAACACUACCAGGUUCGAACAGGGCUGGUGGUUGAACGGUACCUCCAGAGGAAGCGCCGGCUAACUCCGUGCCAGCAACGUCGGUGACUGAGCGGGCUGGCAAGGCGCAUA